This 292-nucleotide ribosomal RNA is filed under the name uncultured bacterium. RNAcentral describes it as "partial 16S ribosomal RNA". The record is from RNAcentral.
GGACUACCGGGGUUUCUAAUCCCGUUCGCUCCCCUGGCUUUCGCCCCUGAGCGUCAGAUGCCUCCCAGGACCCUGCCUACGCCUUUGGUGUUCCUCCGGAUCUCUACGCAUUUCACCACUCCACCCGGAAUUCCAGGUCCCUCUGAGGCCCUCAAGCCCUGCCGUCUUGGCGGCGCUCCCCCCGUUAAGCAGAGGGCUGGCACUGCCAACGCGCAGAACCGCCUGCGGGCGCUUUACGCCCAGUAACUCCGGACAACGCUCGCCCCCUACGUAUUACCGCGGCUGCUGGCAC